AUUGCUUUUCAGCCUUUUAGCUAAGAUCAAGUGUAGUAUUUGUUCUCAUCAGUUUAAUAUCUGAUAUGUCCUCGAUCUGAGGACGUUAGCCGAAUUGUACAUUCCAAGCGCUUAGUACAGUGCCCUGCACAUGAUAAGCGCUCAAUAAAUACUAUUGAAUGAAUUAAUGAUUAUUAAGUGGCUUUUUGGAGCAGGGAGGUGGGUUAGGAGCUUGCUACGUUCUCUCCACGCAUUGUCCUGGUACUGCAGUGCUUCCAAGACGGGUGCCUUUCCC
RNAcentral lists this small nuclear RNA (274 nucleotides) under Ornithorhynchus anatinus (platypus). RNAcentral's name for it is "U2 spliceosomal RNA (ENSOANG00000046658.1)". It matches the Rfam family "U2 spliceosomal RNA". Rfam says of the family: U2 is a small nuclear RNA (snRNA) component of the spliceosome (involved in pre-mRNA splicing). Complementary binding between U2 snRNA (in an area lying towards the 5' end but 3' to hairpin I) and the branchpoint sequence (BPS) of the intron results the bulging out of an unpaired adenosine, on the BPS, which initiates a nucleophilic attack at the intronic 5' splice site, thus starting the first of two transesterification reactions that mediate splicing. Lineage: Eukaryota; Metazoa; Chordata; Mammalia; Monotremata; Ornithorhynchidae. The record is from Rfam by way of RNAcentral.